GAACGCACAUUGCGCCCCUUGGUAUUCCAUGGGGCAUGCCUGUUCGAGCGUCAUUUGUACCCUCAAGCUCAGUCUUGGUGUUGGGUGUUUGUCCUGCCCUCGCGGCGGACUCGCCUUAAAGUGAUUGGCAGCCGGAAUAAUUCUGGGGAACGCAGCACAACUGCAGCCUCUAGUCUUAUACGCCGAGCGUCCAACAAGCCUUUUAUUCUUGCGUUUGACCUCGGAUCAGGUAGGGAUACCCGCUGAACUUAAG
RNAcentral lists this unclassified non-coding RNA (253 nucleotides) under uncultured Pyrenochaeta. RNAcentral describes it as "sequence contains 5.8S rRNA gene". The stretch from base 1 to 53 matches the Rfam family "5.8S ribosomal RNA", at positions 102 to 154 of the family's 154-position model. Lineage: Eukaryota; Fungi; Ascomycota; Dothideomycetes; Pleosporales; Pleosporaceae. The record is from RNAcentral.